UUUUGCAGGGCAUGGCUGGCAGGGUUCUCCAAAACCAUAGUCCGGAUUGGCACAGCAGCAUUCGGACUUGGUCACUGCACCGGGGAAAGGACGCACACAUACUCCUUUCUUGAUUCCUCCAUAGCAGGUACUGCGCAUCUAGUUGCAUGGUGAUGAGGAGUAACUAAAAACAUUUCGAGCUUUUGAUACUUGCCGAUUCUGGAGAUUUCACAUGGAUGGAAUCAUAUACAGUAUGGUGUUUUGUGACUGGCUUCUUUCACUUAGUGUAAUCUUUCCAAGGUUUAUCCAUGUUUUAGUAUGUACUCUUUUUAUAGUGAAUAUUAUUCCAUUGUAUAGAAAUAUCUCUGUUGGCUUUUCAAAGAUGAUUUUGCACAGUGGGGCCAUUGUAAAAUGUUUCACUUACCAACACACACACGUCCAUCCAUGCCCACAGCCAGGCCUGGGGGACAGUCACAGCGGAAGGACCCUUCAUUGUUGAUGCAGUGCCCAUUCAUGCAGAUUCCUGGAGUCUGGCAUUCAUCAACAUCUGCGCAGUGGGUGACAGAAGUCAAGUAGUUACUGGGUAAAUAUAACUUUACUACAGGGUUUACUUGCUGCCACUGCUCAAUACUACCAACCUUUUGUUUAUAACUUUAUAAUUUGUGAAGAACAAAUAAGUGUGGUAACAGAUAUUAUAUGCAAAUGCAAUCCUUUCAACACAUUUCAGAAAGACAGUAAAAGUUGCUUUACUUUACCCAUUGAGGAAAAAAAAGCCUCACAAUCUUCUUUUUCAUUAUUUA
Non-coding RNA from Macaca mulatta (Rhesus monkey), 779 nucleotides. NCBI's taxonomy places the organism in Eukaryota, Metazoa, Chordata, Mammalia, Primates, Cercopithecidae. The record is from RefSeq and is a predicted model, not a curated record.